UCGGCGAAAUCCAUGAUCCUAUGCUGCCGAGAAAAGCCUCUAGCGAGCUGGUACAUGGCCCGUACCCCAAACCGACACAGGUGGUCAGGUAGAGAAUACUAAGGCGAUCGAGAGAACUGUGGUUAAGGAACUCGGCAAAAUGCCCCCGUAACUUCGGGAGAAGGGGGACCAGUCCUGGUGACGACAUUUACUGUCUGAGCUGGGGUUGGUCGCAGAGACCAGAGAGAAGCGACUGUUUACUAAAAACACAGGUCCGUGCGAAGUCGUAAGACGAUGUAUACGGACUGACGCCUGCCCGGUGCUGGAAGGUUAAGAGGACCGGUCAGCCACUUCGGUGGCGAAGCUGAGAAUUUAAGCCCCAGUAAACGGCGGCGGUAACUAUAACCAUCCUAAGGUAGCGAAAUUCCUUGUCGGGUAAGUUCCGACCUCCACGAAUGGCGUAACGACUUCUCUGCUGUCUCAACCACAGACUCGGCGAAAUUGCAGUACAAGUAAAGAUGCUCGUUACGCGCGGCAGGACGAAAAGACCCCGGGACCUUCACUAUAGCUUGGUAUUGGUGUUCGGUUCGGUUUGUGUAGGAUAGGUGGGAGACCGUGAAACUCGCACGCCAGUGUGGGUGGAGUCAUUGUUGAAAUACCACUCUGACCGUAUUGGACAUCUAACCUCGGACCAUGAUCUGGUUCAGGGACAGUGCCUGGUGGGUAGUUUAACUGGGGCGGUUGCCUCCUAAAAAGUAACGGAGGCGCCCAAAGGUUCCCUCAGCCUGGUUGGCAACCAGGUGUUGAGUGUAAGUGCACAAGGGAGCUUGACUGUGAGACGUACAUGUCGAGCAGGGACGAAAGUCGGGACUAGUGAUCCGGCACCGGCAAGUGGAAGCGGUGUCGCUCAACGGAUAAAAGGUACCCCGGGGAUAACAGGCUGAUCUUCCCCAAGAGUCCAUAUCGACGGGAUGGUUUGGCACCUCGAUGUCGGCUCGUCGCAUCCUGGGGCUGGAGUAGGUCCCAAGGGUUGGGCUGUUCGCCCAUUAAAGCGGCACGCGAGCUGGGUUUAGAACGUCGUGAGACAGUUCGGUCUCUAUCCGCCGCGCGCGUAAGAAGCUUGAGGAAACCUGUCCCUAGUACGAGAGGACCGGGACGGACGAACCUCUGGUGUGCCAGUUGUUCCACCAGGAGCACCGCUGGUUAGCUACGUUCGGAAGGGAUAACCGCUGAAAGCAUCUAAGCGGGAAGCCUGUUCCAAGAUGAGGUUUCUCACCACCUAGCGUGGUUAAGGCCCCCCACAGACCAUGGGGUUGAUAGGCCAGAACUGUAAGCACAGCAAUGUGUUCAGGUGACUGGUACUAAUCGGCCGAGGACUUAC
Molecule: ribosomal RNA, 1360 nt
Filed under: metagenome
Description: bacterial LSU rRNA
Rfam family: Bacterial large subunit ribosomal RNA
Source: RNAcentral